AUCUCAUAAAUUCAUAAUAUAAAAACCAAGUGAAACCCAAAACUACUUCACUUCGACAACAUAAUUUACAUACGGAUUUUACUUUCUGGAGACCCCGAAGGGAUUACAAAGAGAAAAGAAAACUACCUUCUGCCUACCUCCACCACUGGAUGAUACAAUGCAUCAAAGGCUUAUUACAACUGGAGAUGGCUACUACUACUACUACUGAGGAGAGUGAGGGAUGUGGUGCUCUGGUGUUGCGAUGCUCUGGAGACUGGUGUUGUGUGUGUUCCAGCGCUCAGUCCUCCUCCUUUGAUAGCACGCGAGGGGCACCGCGCAAUUACUACCUUUAUUCUUCUCUAGCAGGUGUGCUACAGCCUGCCUUGACACAACUUCGGCCUCUUGCGUUUUCCUUUGCUUGAGCUGAUGAAGCAUCUCCAUAUUUUAUCUGCCUUGUAGUUUGCACAGUCAAGCAUCUUAUGCAUGAUUCCAAUGCGUGGCUGAGCUUUUGUCUUGACAGAUGAUUUUGUCCAGACUGAAGUCUUUUUCUUGACAGAUGAUUUUGUCUAGACUGAAGUCGUUGUCCUGACUGAGAACUUUGUCUGAACUGAGAAUUUUGUCCAGACUGAGAACUUUGUCUAGACAGGAGACCUUGUCAUGGCUGAGAGACCAGCUUCUCGUGGCAUGGUAAAAUAUUGCUAUGACAUGGCUGGGUAUACAAACUAGUCCAAUAUAUUACUCUGUUGCUUGCAUGCGAAGCUAUUGGCUCUGUAAAUUGCACAAGCCAACACACAUUGCGUGCGCAAUGGAGUCAUGCAUUGCUUUGGCUCUUCUUGACUAAAACUUCAGCUAUACUCUUGUGCUCCCUUAUGCUUCCAUGGCUGGCAUUAUCAUUUAUUUAUUUAUUUAUUUUUACAAUAAAAUAAUUAAAAUAUAUUAGAUAUUUUACAAUAUUUAAAAUACCAGAUUAUUAAAUACUUAGGUGAUUUAAAUUAGGUGAUUUAAUUUUUUUGAAAUUAUUCAAUUAACUAAUUCUUAAUUAAUUUGCUAAUUAUUAUAUUUUACGUGUAUAUGCAAGAUCUUUUAUGGGUUGGUGAGACCAACGAGACAACCUACGGGUAUGCAACAGUUGUGUUAAUCCUACUCGGUACUCUCCGUAUGUAUCAUUAUGUUGCUUCAGAAGCACCUAAGUUCUUUCACUUGAUGUUUAUAUUGUGAAUUUAUGCGAUAAAUUCCUACCGUCUUCCCAGGCAGUUCCAUCCGAAGGGAACACUUCUCUACGGCCACAAGGUUCUCAUUCAAACGCCACACAUCGGCUAAACAGAGAACGACCGGCAGAGGUUUCUCCUAUAGGAUACCUAGCGUAAGAACUCAUCUCAUAAAUUCAUAAUAUAAAAACCAAGUGAAACCCGAAACUACUUCACUUAGACAACAUAAUUUACAUACGGAUUUCCCUUUCGGGAGACCCCGAAGGGAUUACAAAGAGAAAAGAAAACUACCUCUGCCUACCUCCACCACUGGAUGAUACAAUGCCUCAAAGGCUUAUUACAGACUGGAGAUGGCCACUACUACUACUACUACUAAGGAGAGUGAGGGAUGUGGUGCUCUUGUGCUGCGAUGCUCUGGAGACUGGUGUUGUGCAUGUGUCAGCGCUCAGUCCUCCUCCUUUUAUAGCACGCGAGGGAUGCUGGAUGCUCCCUUCUUUAUUCCUCUGCAUCAUAGAUGGAAGCUGGAGGAUCUCAUACCUUGACACGCCUUAUGCACCGACAAAAUGCCUCAAAGUUUGCACAAUCAACCUUGCGUGACUCCGAUGCUAGACUGAGAACUUUUUCUAGACUGAGAAUUUUGUCCACACUAAGAACUUUGUCUAGACAGGAGACUUUGUCAUGGCUGAGAGACGGGCUUCUUGUUGCGUGAUAAAAUAUUGCAAUGACAAGGCUGGGUAUGCAAACCAGCCCAAUAUAUUACUCCAUUGCUUGCAUGUGAAGCUAUUUGCUUUGUAAAUUGCGCAAGCCAACACACAUUGCGUGCGCAAUGGAGUCAUGCAUUGCUUUGGCUCUUCUUGACUGAAACUUCAGCUAUACUCUUGUGCUCCCUUAUGCUUCGAUGGCUGGCAUUAUUAUUUAUUUAUUUAUUUAUUUUUAACUUUUUUGGGUAUGGGUCUACCCCGCCCAUGUUAUUGAUAAUACCUUAUCAAUAUUUUGAAUUAUGUCAAUAUUCGGGUAUAGAUCCUCCGCGCCCGAAUAAUUGAUAUUCAUAUCAAUUCAUAUUCGGAGAUAUUCGUUUGUUAUUUUCUUUCUUGUAUUCAAUUGGUUACCCGUGCCCGGCAAUGUCCAUAUGGUCUGUCUCAUAAAUGGUGAAAUCGUAUUUUUGAUCAUAUUCUUUCUUUAGCUCUUCAAACUAUUCAUUCAUUUCAGAUCGUAAUUCUUUUAAAAUUUCUUCCUUCAAUUCUACCUUCAUUGACUUUGCAACUUCCUUAAGUUUUUCAUCUAUCUUGAAGUCUAUGUAUUCCCCAUCCAAAGGAUCAACUCCUUUGAUAAGGCAUUCUUUGUAUGAUUGAUAUUUUGAAGCAUUUGCUUCUUUUAUAUUCUUUGUAUCAGUUCUCGAUCCUUGAAAUAACAACCUUUCAUUAUCUUCGCCCAAUUUGAGGCAUAAUUGAUUUUUUCACGCCUUAUUUGGAAUUCUUCCCAUGUCAUUGGUAUUCCAUCGAACAUAACAUAUGUUAGUCUUGGUGUAAAAUAUACUGCCUGGGUAUUUAUAUUAUUUUGCAUAUAACCUUUCUCUUUUCUUCUGAUUAUGUCCCUAAUUUCCAAUAAGCAUCUUUCCAUAUCAUCAUAGUGGAUACGGUCUUUUUGUUUGAAAUUGAAAGUAUUUGGCGGCCAUAUCCUUAAUCUGGUGUUAUUUCUGGAUAUGUGGCUUUCACUUCCUCCAGCGAGUGUAUUUUUUUUCAUUCGUGUAGAGAGGAUGAUCAGAGAAAUAAGUUAGGUAAACUAUUUCGUUUGCCUUUAAUAUGCUUAUGUAAGACUUUUUAUCUGUUCACUGUUAUGUUGUGUUCCAUGUUCUUGCUAUUUAUGUGGUUCUUCUUAUUUAUUUGGUUCUAAUAUUUUAUCUCCUUCUGUUAUUAUUUGUUCCUCUAUUUCUAUGCCUUCAACUACAAUGUUCUCUUCCUCUGUAUUUGCUUUAUUUUCUAAGUUAGAUUUUAGGUCUUCUAGUUCCACUUCUAAUUUAUUUAGUCUAUUUUCUAGAUUUCUAACUCUGGUAGAUAAUAUCCUACCUUCGAGUUCAUAUUCUAUUUCUUGUCUCCAUCUUUGAUUAGUAGAUUUUAGGCAUGAGUUACAUGCUUGUCUUAAGCACGAACUGCAUGUAUACCUAUUCUCUUGACAGGGAUAAUAUAUGCAAAAGCCACAUUUUAUAUUAUAAUCACCUUUUCCCCUGAUACAGUCAUGUUCACAAUCUACUUGGUUCAUCAUCUCUACUUUUUAAAUCUAUUUCAUCUUCACUAGAUUCUUCUUCUAACUCUUCAUUUUCUAUCUCAUCUGUUUCUAUAAUGGAGUAUAUUGACUCAUCUUCUUUUAUUUCAUCAUCACAUACUAAUAUAUUCUCAUUAACACUAUCUACAAUUAAUACUCUCUCUUGCUCUUCAUAUUUACUAGGGUACCUUUUCUGAUCUUUAUUAGGGCAAGUUGUACUUAAAUGAUCAGGUGAAUUGCAUAUAAAACACCUAGAUGUUUUAUCAUAUGAUUUUCUAGGAUUAUAUUUUCUAACAUUUCUUUUAUGCAAGAAUGGGGCUCUAUUAUUAGAUCGUCGUAAGAAAUAUCUUUUCUUUGUUCUGAAAUUUCUAUUAUCUUUUUGUGGUUUAUAAUAUUUCUUAUUUUUGUGUCUUUCUUCGCCAUAUGUUAGUGGUAUUUGGACGAUUUUAUUCCAGAAACUAUAAUCUGAUUUCUUCAUAUAUCUCUGGGCCUAUAUACUUGUACAUACCUUUCUAAGAUGUUUACACACAAAAGUUAUUACUUGGGAUAUAUUUAUGUCUAUACCCGCAGUGUCUUUCUUAUAUUCUUCAAAUAUUAUAAAUCCUAAGGGGUCUGGUAAUUUAUUAAAAUACCUUUCAACCACACCUUUAUUGUAGCCUUGCCUAGCUGUGGUAGCAUUGUACAAAUAAUGUUGAGAGAAUUCUUUUAUACCUUUCCAACUUGUUAUGGUUAAUUUUUUCAUUUCUCUCAACCUUUCAUUUUGUAAUGUGGCAUGACCCAAUUCCGGAUCUUCUACUAUGACCAUAUUUGAUAUGACAUUGGCAACGUUAUUUGGAUUACUUCCAGAUCUUUUUAGUUCUUCAUAUUGAUCAGGAUAUGUAUCUACCCAUUGUUCCCAUAAUAUUUUUACGGAUUCUCCUAAAAAUGUUUCAAGGUAUGUUAUCAUAUCUUCCACCUUAUUCUCGAUAUUAUAUUGAUUCUGUAUAUAUUUUUGGAUUAUUAAUCCUUUCCACACACUAAUUAUAUUUGACCAGUCUAUAGGGUCAUGGGCUGCCAAAUUUAGAAUAGCACCAUCAUUCCAAGAAUUUUGGAAUUUCAUUACUCUUUCAAAACCUCUUCUUUUAGAACCCAUAAAUGUAUAUUGUCCAGGGAUAUAUGUAGGUUGAUAAUCAUAUUUUUGAGGAAGCCAUUUUCCAACUGAUCGAGUAGGUUUCUCUCUUUCUCCUUCUCUUUUUACAAAUGACUCGCCAUAACCUCUUCUUCUUUUAUGACCACCUAAAUCUACUUCCAUGGCUUCCAUCGCAUUUUCUAAAUUUUGCAGACUUUCAUCAUCUAACGAGUUUAUAGAAUCAACAUUUUGCUCAGACUCUAUAUAAUUUUUAUCUUCAUAUUCAUCCCAUGGUUCUUUUUCUUCUUCAUAACUUCCUAAUAAUAGCUUAUUAUUGAUAUCCCAUUGAUCUUCUUCACUUAUGGCUUUCUCCUUAUGACUUUCGGUCUUAUUCUUAAUAUUAGUAUUUUCUUCGCAUUUUAUAUUAUCCUUUGGCACCACUGGGUUACUAAUGAUUGGUUUUUUAUCCUUAAUUAUUCUUUUUAACCUUGAAAUUUCUCUAAUAAAGAAUAAUUCUCUUUCUCUUAUUUUAGGCCAAUCUGAUGUCAUUGAAUUAUUAUACUCCCAAUUUAUACGUUUUAAUUUUUCUUCCCAAUGUUUUAAUUCAUCUUCUAAAUCUGCCUUUUCCAUGCAUUAUUUUACUCCUUUAUUCUUACUAUCACUACUCUCUAUUUCUGACAUAAGAGGUUCUAUUUCAUCUAAGGCUGCGGAUUUAUAGUUCAGGAAUCUAAUGCUACUAUUUCCUUCACUAUUUUGGUAGCUUAUAUAAUUUUCUGGCUGCUUCAAUUCUUUCUUCUCUAUUAGUUCGCUUAUAUUCCAUUCUUCUCCUGCUCUCUCUUCAGAACCUAUUUUAGGAGGGCUCAUAAAUUUUAUGCCUUUAGAUUGCAUGCUUUCUAUUACAUCAUUUACAUUUACUUUGUAUCUAGAGCUAAUCUUAUUUGUGAGUCUUCCUAUGAAUUCGAUGCUUAUUAAUAAAUUUGUUCCUUUAAAAUCUUCAUAUCCUUUGGUUUGAAAUCCAAAGUUCAUCUUUUCAAUAAAUUCUUUCAUAGGCAUCAUUAAGUCUGGGGCUAUAUAUGUUAUUAAUCUAUUUUCAUUCUUAUCUUCUUCCAUAAAGCCUAAUGAUGCUUUUUCUACAGACUCCCAUCUUUUAUCAAGUAAUGUAAUUAAUACCUUCGUUCCUAAUUUCUUUCUUGUCAUUUCUUUAACUCCUAUAAUAUACAUGCCUUGAUGAAUAUAUUUAUAACUUGAAUAUUUGAGUCCACUCUCAAUAUUUUUGCUAACAAUUCUUAAAUCAACUGGACGCGUUAACACACUUAAUUCUACUUCUCUAGAUAUUCUGUACAAUCCACUCUUACUUCCAAAUAUACCCAUGUGAUAUACCUGUUGCGGUCUUAUUUUUCUUAACGUGUCUCUCUGGUAUCUUUCUAAUUCGUGUUCCAUAUCUAUAGCAUCUUCUAGAUUAUCUAUGCCGUCACUCUUGCAUGAUAUCCUAUUCAUCAUGGUUAGCGGCCUAGAAUCUUGCCUUAUUAACUGGAUGGUCUUGUCUCUUCUAGAGAGGCUUUUAGAUAGUUCCAUUUUUCAGAAUUAAUAUUUUUAGAAGAUGAGACUAUUCCGGCUGAAGAUAAUAUCAACUCGUUGUUACCUCCUUUAGUAUUUAGCUUUUCCAAAAUCUGGACUAGUAGUUGUAGAAUGGUGUUAUUCUGCCUUAUAAUUAUUCUGGAAUCUUCUUUUGGUGAAUCGUGAUCUGAAAAUCCGACAGGAGGUGUUAAGUAUUUUUCUACUUCUUUAAUGCUUGGCUAUAUUCACUCAGACAAAUUAUGAUACGACUAAAGUCUUUACUUCUUGUACUAACUUUUUAACUUCAAGUAUAUCGCGUCUAAUUUCAGCACGUGAUGAUGAAUCUUUACUCUUAUUUAAGACACCACUUAGAUUCUUACCUAUGGAUAAAACUUCUUCUUUAAUAUAGUCGUUGUUCUUACAAAUUAUAAUAUUUCUUCCUUUCGCUUCUUCUAAUUUCUGUAGAACUAUGUCAAUUGUAUUAUUCAAGCUUGCGUAUUUUUCUACUAACUUAUUUAUUUCUUUUAACAUAUUUUCAAAUUUUUGGUCUAAAUUAUCUUGCCUUUUCCCCCAAGAUAUAUAGAAGUUAUGAAUGAGGUCGACAAUUAAAUUUAGUUGGCUAUGAGUAGUAUGCCACGUAUGUUCUUCAGAAGGAUUUAUUCUGCACCGUAUGCUAGUAUUCUCUUUAGUAGAGAUCAGUCUACCUGUACUAAUUUCUAAAUUCAAACACUUUAGUCUUUCAAUGAUUAAAAUUCUGGCUGAGAUACCAACACAGAAAUAUAUUAUAAAAUAAUUAACUUUAAUUUAUUAAAUUCUACAGUAUGUAAAAUACAAGAUUAUUUAGUAAUUAGGUAAUUAAAUUUUUUGAAAUUACUCAAUUAACUAAUUCUUAUUUAAUUUGCUAAUUAUUAUAUUUUACGUACAUGUAGGAUCUUUUAUGGGUUGGCGAAACCAACAAGACAGCCUAUGGGUAUGCAACAAUUGUGUUAAUUCUACUCGGUACUCCGCAUAGUCAUUAUUAUGUUGCUUCAGAAGCAGCUAAGUUCUUUCACUUGAUGUUUGUAUUGCGAAUUUAUGCAAUAAAUUCCUACCGUCUUCCCAGGCAGUUUCAUUCGAAGGGAACACUUCUCUACGGUCACAAGGUUCUCAUUCAAACGCCACACAUCGGGUAAACAACGAACUACCGACAGAGGUUUCUCCUAUAGGAUCUCUAGCAUAAGAACUCAUCUCAUAAAUUCAUAAUAUAAAAACCAAGUGAAACCCGAAACUACUUCACUUCAACAACAUAAUUUACAUACGGAUUUCCCUUUUGGGAGACCCCGAAGGGAUUACAAAGAGAAAAGAAAACUACCUUCUGCCUAUCUCCACCACUGGAUGAUACAAUGCCUCAAAGGCUUAUUACAAACUGGAGAUGGCUACUACUACUACUACUACUACUACUACUACUACUACUACUACUACUACUACUACUACUACUACUACUACUGAGGAGAGUGAGGGAUGUGGUGCUCUAGUGCUGCGAUGCUCUGGAGACUGGUGUUGUGUGUGUGUGUGUGUUCCAGCGCUCAGUCCUCCUCCUUUUAUAGUGCGCGAGGGGCACCGCGCGGUUACUACCUUUAUUCUUCUCUAGCAGGUGUGCUACAGCCUGCCUUGACACAACUUCGACCUCUUGCGUUUUCCUUUGCGUGAGCUGAUGAAGCAUUUCCAUAUUUUAUCUGCCUUGUAGUUUGCACAGUCAAGUAUCUUAUGCAUGAUUCCAAUGCGUGACUGAGCUUUUGUCUUGACAGAUGAUUUUGUCCAGACCGAAGUCUUUGUCUUGACAGAUGAUUUUGUCUAGACUGAAGUCUUUGUCCUGACUGAGAACUUUGUCUAGACAGGAGACCUUGUCAUGGCUGAGAG
RNAcentral lists this long non-coding RNA (8013 nucleotides) under Triticum aestivum (bread wheat). RNAcentral's name for it is "long non-coding RNA (TAES_LNC027403)". The record is from RNAcentral. Lineage: Eukaryota; Viridiplantae; Streptophyta; Magnoliopsida; Poales; Poaceae.